RNAcentral lists this ribosomal RNA (253 nucleotides) under uncultured bacterium. RNAcentral's name for it is "partial 16S ribosomal RNA". It matches the Rfam family "Bacterial small subunit ribosomal RNA", at positions 524 to 776 of the family's 1533-position model. The record is from RNAcentral.
UACGUAGGUGGCAAGCGUUGUCCGGAUUUACUGGGCGUAAAGAGCGCACAGGCGGUCGUAUAAGUCGAAUGUGAAAGCCCCCGGCUCAACUGGGGAGGGUCAUUCGAUACUGUUCGACUCGAAGGCAGGAGAGGGAAGUGGAAUUCCGGGUGUAGUGGUGAAAUGCGUAGAUAUCCGGAGGAACACCAGUGGCGAAGGCGACUUUCUGGCCUGUUCUUGACGCUGAGGCGCGAAAGCCAGGGGAGCAAACGGG